RNAcentral lists this non-coding RNA (26 nucleotides) under Mus musculus (house mouse). Lineage: Eukaryota; Metazoa; Chordata; Mammalia; Rodentia; Muridae. The record is from RNAcentral.
UUAAAACAGUUUUAGGUUUUUGGAAA